Molecule: long non-coding RNA, 29970 nt
Filed under: Triticum aestivum (bread wheat)
Lineage: Eukaryota; Viridiplantae; Streptophyta; Magnoliopsida; Poales; Poaceae
Description: long non-coding RNA (TAES_LNC008800)
Source: RNAcentral
UUUUUUUUAUCUUGCUUAUCACUGGACGUGAGUGGUCUGAUCUUGAGGGUUCGAGCAUCCCACCCAUGAGCAAAUGAUGACACUCGUGAGAGCUUCUUGGGUCAGCACGUCUCCGUCUGAAUACAUCAGAUGACUUCAUAUACUGAACUUGGUCUCUUUUUUUUUUCCUUAUUAACAGAGAUGACAGAGGAUUCUCACACUUGUAUGUGGUUCCUUAUUAACAGAGAUUUUGCUGCUUGCAGCAAAAAAAAAAAAAAGCUCCUACAGGCCGGCAGUUGUAGAACUGUCUGUCUAGUCUGAUAACAGGCCAGUUGCUCCAGUACUAGUACUCCUGCACGAGAAAUGAUCGCAGUUCUAGUGAAUCUCUACAAGUCUGUGACGCCCUGUUUCGGUUCGUGAUGAGUGAACUGCCACAAUGAAUACUGUGAUUCUGUUGUCAAUUGUACAAUUUUCUUAACAUGAAUUUGAAGCAAAUUGGUUUUUUAAGGCAUGGCAUAUAGUCUCGUUUUCACCUCCACGUUCUACAGAGUUUAUUUGUUUCCCAACAUGUCUCUUAUGCAGAUGAUCUCGAACUGGAAUGAAACCCUUUGUAACACGCCACCCAAAUGUGCGUACAUUGGGUUCUUCCAUACUUUAUUUUCUUCAGCAUUUGAGCAUAAAUCAAUGUCUUUUCGGUGGUAAUCAUUAGUAAUCAGCAGUACAGGAAUGUCUAACCAAUAAUCUGUAGGCUGGUCUAAAUUGGCUGGUUCUGAAGGAGGAGGUCACGACGGCCGUGCUAAUUUUUUUUGGAACUGGACACAUGCCUGAGGGUGUUAAUGACACGGCUAUCGUGUUGAUUGCAAAAGUCCCUACGCCUGUGGAUCUAAAGGACUUUCGUCCUAUUAGUCUAUGCAAUGUAAUUUACAAAGUUGUGUCUAAGUGCAUGGUGAACAGACUCCGUCCGUUGUUGUCAGUUUUAAUCUCAGAGAACCAAAGUGCCUUCAUCUCAGAGAACCAAAGUGUCUAAGUGCAUGGUGAAAUUGCCGCUACUCGGGCGCGGUGCCCCUUGAUGCAGGCAGCAUCUGUCAAGUUUCAAAGCGUUGCGUAACUAUAUGCCAGUAUGCUGUAUAUUGAUAUGUCAUAAACCUAUUGUCUUUGGAAACAUGACCUGUUGUCUAUUGGUGCGACUGACAGAACAGAUUGUUGGUCUAGAUCAUUUGUAAAUUGCUGAACCAAGGGCUAGACGGAUCAUGUUGGCAGGAUGUCAAUGUCACUACUCUCGCGUUCUUCUUCUUGCAUCUUUUUUUGUGUAACUUUUUUUUGUGGUUGAUCACUCAGGAUCGAGUUCGUACAGCGGAUAGUCUUCAACGAAGAGGCCGGUCUAACUGUGGUGUUUGCCCUCUUUGUAAGCAAUUUCAAGAAAUGGUGACACGUCUUCUACUCUUCUUUUCCCAUGCCGGUUCUCCAUGAGAGUUUGGGGCUUCACAAGAAUCGGCUUGCCUGGAUCGACUUUGAUCCUACCUUGUGGGCACCUGAUGGUAGUAAUAGAUAUGUCAAGGAGGGUUGCUGGGUGGAGACAGUCUGAAUCCGCAACAACUAAAGGAAGGUGCUUGCUUCUCUCUUUUUGCCCACCAAUUGAAAAUUUUGGAACUAGAGGAAUGCCAGUUCUGAAAUGUCUCCACCAUGCCAACUAUGGUCUUCAGCCGAAUCAAACUGCGACAUUCACUUUGGAAAUGGCAGGUGCAAAGCAUUUAAGUAGUUUCAGAUCCGGGGAGUAGGCUUUUGUUUAACUAGGGUGCGUUGCACCGUCUUGUGACUCUUUGUGCUCUUCUAUCUUAAUCAAUGAAAAGAGGCAAAUGUUUUGCUAGAGCAGCGUUUCAAUGCCUGAGCUUAGAUGAGCUCGGGCAAAAUAAAAAAUUCGCAAAAAAUAGAAAAUAAAUUUAAAAAUUUCUGAUUUUUUUUGCAAGCAAGAUGCCUGUACGUGGAGUUAUUGGGAGCUUUCAAAAAGAAUCUAGGUAUUGAAGAGGAGUUUCGUGGGAUGGCGGCUGGCCUUUGGUGGUGGAACGGUUGUAACAACAACGGCGACAAAAGGAAGGAGGCAGUGUAGGUAGCGGUUAUCAGCGUGGAAGUUUCAUCCGCAAAAAAAAUCAUUUUGGAAGGUAUAUAUUGAGGGUGAGAACAUUAUCCCAAGAUUUGGGAGUCCUUUUUUUAACUCCCUUUUUUUGGGGGAGUUAAGUACAUUUUGGGAAUUUGCUAGAGGGGUCUAACUCUCAAUAGUAAUAAUAGUAUUUUCUGAGAGUUCAGAGCAGAUUCCCAGGCAUGGGCUAAUAGGACUACGAUUAGGAACUAGAGGUGGCCUUAAUUUAACAACUAUUAACAGACAAAAAUGUUCAGUGUGAUGGUGGCAAUUUGUCCUAACACAUCGGAGAGAAAAACACUGAACGGAUCCGAACAGAGAAACUGAUAUUGAGAAGGAAGGACACUAAUUGGUAGCCAUUCUAGAAGAGGAUGGCGCUAACACUCGAAGUGACAAUGGGGCACGCUAGCUUCGUCAUGGUGCCAAUACCGAUCAUGCACCCAGUUCUUCGUCAACUAGCUAAAAAAAGUAUUCUAGUCGAUUCCUUACUUAUUUCCGAGUCCAUUAUUUCUUUGCAGUAUGUUCAUUUCGGAAAACCGCCACAUUUCGGUGCAUUUUCACCGCCGGUUUUCAUGAAGAGGAGGGGUCAAAAGUCCAUUUUUUAGUAGUGAAAGAAUUAAAUAUUGUGAAAGUACUUUCCUAAACAAAUUCACAUGCAUACUUUUAGUUUUCAAGUAUACAGCCUAAACAUAAAAAAGGUAAACAUUUGUAGAGAUAUACUCCUAUACUAGUCUAAAUAUCAAAAUUUGACCUUAUUCUUCCUGCAAAAGCGAGGGGAGUAAUAAUGUGACACUCAUGGUAAUGUAUUGCAACGAAAUCACAAAGUACUCCAACAUUACAAUCGGAAUGCAUGCAUCCUGACAACAGAAGGUAACAAGAAAAACUAAAUUCGUGGCAACAAUAGCACACCCCAUAUUGCCAUGCAGUACUUCUCACUGUAAUAUUUCCAUGCAUGUACCACAGCAAUAUUUGUUACUGCUGCAGUAACCUGCAUGUCAUAUUGCAAGUUAGAGAAUUAUUAAGGACUAGUACUACUAAAAGUAACUGAAGGGAAACCGUAGGUGGCAAUGAGACUGCCACGGAUUAUUUGUCGUUGCAAUACUGUCAUGGCGAGAUCAUUCUUUGAGAAGAGUGGAGGUGGAGUUGGCGGCUAUGGCCUCGAAUACAGAGCCACAGCCGCCGCUCUGGCAGCCUGCACCGCAGUAGGCCGGGCCGAUACCGCAGGAUCCCCACUGGCUGCAACAAUAGUUGUUUGUGCAAGCCCUGCCACCGGCGUUCUUGCCGCACGGCUUGUCGGUGCUGCAAGCACCGCUCUGGCAGCCGACGCCGCAGAACUCGGAGCCGAGGCCGCAGAAACCCCACUGGCUGCAGCAGAGAUUGUUGGGGCAGAGCUUGCCGCCGGCCUGGCUGCCGCACUUGAUGUCGGCGCGGCAGGGGCCACCCUGGCAGCCGGCACCACAGUACUCGGAGCCGAACCCGCAGUGCCCGUACUGGCUGCAGCAGUGGUUGUUGGGGCACACUGCGCCGGCGGCCUGGGCGCCGCAGCGUUUGCUGGUGUAGCAGGCGCCGUUCUGGCAGCCGUUGCCGCAGUAGUCGCCGCCCAUGCCGCAGUAGCCGUACUGGCUGCAGCAGAGGUUGUUGGGGCACUCCAAGCCGCUGCCCUGCUCGCCGCACCUCUGGGCGUGCGCGGUCGCCGCCGCGAAGGCGAGGACGACGGCCGCGCCGAGAGCGAGAGCCCUGGUGUUCAUCAUCUUCUUCCUUUUCUUCUUGACUUGUCGAUCUAGGGCUGGUUGUGUGCUUUGUGUGUGGAGUAAACAGGUGAUGAUCCCCACUUUAUAUAGGAGCUCUGAACUUCUGAUUGCAGUCCAGUUCGAUGUGGCAUACACGUGUUUCACUCUCAUUCUCAACUAUCUUAACCCGAUCGUGUCUAAUCGAGGAGAUUGUUAAUGUAUGCGAUGUGAUAUGAUGCCGGAUCCGUUCUUGAUAGAUGUGGCACUGCACUGUAAGUAAGAUUCGUAAUGUUUAUAUGCUGUUUAUGCUUGCAUGAGACAUGCAUGGAGCGCGAACUAUUAGAGUACAGUAACUUAGGGCUAGUACGUACGCAUACGCAUGUGAUUACACCUUGUCGUCCCCAUCCACAGAAGCACCCCAGCGGACACGUCGCGUGCAUCGCAUCUGAUCGAUGUGAACGUUGUGCUCUGCGUCCAUGAUAUGAUCGAGAUCUUAUCUUCCUCGCACCGGAUAUCCUUUAUGAUGAAAAAUGGUUGGUUGUUAGGAAUCUUGCAAUGGGUAAGGCAGGUCUGAUCCAUCUUGGCUCAGUUGAUCGAACCAUCGAAGUAGUAAUCGGCUACAUAUUUUUUUCUUAGGAGAGUAAAAUUAUGUUUUUGCGAAAAUGAUCAGAACUAUUAUAAAAGUUCAUUGGAAGUAUAAAGUAUCUCAAACAUAAUAAAAAUUACAUCGAGAUUUCGAGACCACCGAACGACCACUACUACCAUCAGAACAAGCAACCGACGUGCCGUUGUCGCCACUCCUCUACCGAAGCCGGCUUGACCUUGUUGAUGACAACCAUAAAGUAUUCUUGCACGUGCCCCUAAAGACCAGCGCCCUGGAGCCACAGUUGUCGCCGUUGAACUCUUGUAUAGAUCUGAAACACUUACACUAAAUUCCGCCAUAUGACAAAGAAACCCUAACCUCACCGCCCCAAGGAGGCGACAUGAAUCUACGUCGACUACGUCAAAACGGAUGAACUCGGGAGAGUAAUCGACUAGAGUACAAUUGAAUGUAUGCUCGGGUUAAGACCUCCGAUAGUGGGAGUAUCAUAGCAAGUACUCUCAAAUGGGGACAACAUGGUCAUCUCUUAGGUUUAUGCUACCGAUCACAAAUAUUUUCCAUGUUUACUAUAUUAUUACUAGGCCCAAGACUUUGUUUCGCCGGAAUUUCUCUUAAUAUGGAUUUGCUUUACCCGCCCAUUUGUGUGGCUAGAUGUCUUAUGUGUUGUCAUAUCGGUAAUAAUCAUUUCAGGGGAAAUAAAUAGUAGGAAAUGGCCUGCUGCAUAGGUUUCCUCCAUUUUCAGUUAAAAGUUAAAUACAGAGGAUAAAAAAAGAGCUAAAAAACUCUAGGGCCUAGUUGACUAUGUGCUGAGUAUCUUUCCUUUCGUAUCAUUUUCAGCCAUGUAUUGUUAAUUUUUAUUGGAUAUAUUGUCUCUAGCUUGGUUUUUUAUACCAAUCACAGUAUAUGUAACAUUGUAGCCAAAGAUGCAUCUCAAAGAAACAUGGUAAAGUUCGAUAAAAUAAACUUCCAAUUUAAGUGUAUCAUUAGCCUUAAGUACAAAGUACUUCUAUUUUAAUCACAAAUUUAGUUCAUAAUAACUUUAUUUAUCAACGUCUAGGCUGCCAUGCAAAAUUAUCCAUUCUUCCAUCAUAUGUUUUGCUGAGAAUUUACUUCUCUUAAUGCACUUUGCAACUUUAUUGCACUUGCCCACUUUAUCAUUGGCAACCUAACUAAAUUUGUGCGGUCCUAUAUACUACGGCACCAAAGCACUUUGACUAGUUUGGCUAUUGAAAUCUUGUGUUUGUGUGUCAUGCUCUGUUCUAUUCUUCAAGAACCGAAAUUCAAAUGGCCCUUCAAUUUACUAUCUCUUAAUCAAGUGUUCCACCUCUCCAAAUACUACUAUCCUCAGAUUGUUGCAUCUCACAACUAUCAACAGUACAUGUGUAGCAGAUGUUAUUUUUGAAGCUUGAUCCUUUGCUACUCACUAUGUCAUGACUCACCACAUGAUCGGAACGACAACUUGAUCAUGCAUGUGUAUUUUAACGGAUAAAAACCAAAUUUAUGUUUGAAAAAUAUUAUGCAUUUCAUGUUUGGAUGGAAUUCCUUUUAAAAUCAACUAAUGACUUGUUUAAAUUUCAGCUAUUUACGGAAUACAAUUGUAUUAUUUACCCGCCUAGCACAUCAAUUGAACUGGUCAUUUCCAAAGUUAAAUCCAAUAUUUAAUGUGUGUGUGUGUGUGUGUGGGGGGGGGUGUCCCACCUAAUGAUAUUUUCUAGAUGGCCAAGGCCAAUUUGUUGCACCAUUAGAAGUAGGCGAGAAGAAAGGUCUAACCUCCAAGAAUGGUGGUGUCCUUGUGUUCCAGCUUCCAAAACCAAUGAAACGAAAGGGUGAAGUCAUUUAACAUGAUUCGUAAUGUGGUAGAGCUAUGUUGAUCAAUGCGGAAUACAAGCACAUUCCCAAAUCUUUCAAAGGGUGUUGAGAAUAGCGGUGGUCCAAACUUGGUGGAGUAGAGGUACUAGCGGCUGGAAUUCCCAAAUACCAUUGGUAUCUUGGAUGUUUAGGUCAAGUGUUACCAUAUCCUGACAAUGAAGGGGCAAUGGAGAAACAUGUGCUAUAUUGACUCAGUUUGAUGUUGAUAUGUUGGGGAAGAAUGCAAGUCGACAAUAUGCUUGUGGUGGGGGUUGAGCUUGGUGUUGAGACACUUGCGAAAUAGGAGCUACACAAAUACCUUCAUUUUAUUGGGUACAUACCCUAGACUUUUGGAUGAAGUCUGCAUUUUGAUCUAUGAACCCCUUGUGCAUGAAAAUGCCAUAAGAAUGCUUGGUCGAGAAGGGAGUGCGUUUCUUGAGGAAACGUUUGUCUUGUCGAAGCCCAAACUGAAAGUCAGUCAACUAAGACAAGAGAAAUUGCAAUUUCAAGGAAACCACUUGGGGUUAGGCGAUUCCUCAUGUUAGACAUUGCACUGUUCAACAUGAUCGAGAUACCUAUUUUUGGGUCAGCGGAAUGGGUGAAAAAUAGGUUAGGGGGCGUAGGCUAGUGGUAGGUGGUGGAGCUAGGUAUCGAGGCAAAAGAAAGUUUAGUGGCCAUCUUUCAUCAUAGCGGAAGAAUCCCAUUGUAGUUUAGGUAUUUGUUGGUUAAUAGUAUUUGGAAGGAAGGAGUCAUGUUUCUGGGAUGCAAGUGGUGAUAGGAUACUGAAGUUGUACCCAACACACCCAAGGAUUGUUGGCAGGUAGGAGAAAUCUCUAUCUCUUUUUUUUUUUGCGGGUGGAGAAAUCUCUAUCUCUAUUCUCUAUUACUUAAAAAGAACGUAAGGUUCCCAUUUCAUCUUUCUUUCCACCACCCCUUCGUCCAACCUUUCGUGUAUAUGAUAAUCAAUCACCUUAUUUUACUUAUCUUCUGAACCAAUUCCACUUUAAUUUCAUCUACAUGCGCAUACCCUAUGUCUCGCGAACCAAAGCUUUAGCUGGACCUCAUGAGCUGGCCCAGAUCGGCCGUAUGUGUGUGCCUGACAUAUGUAUGGAGUGGGAAACAAUGUACAGCCCUCAGUGGCCGCCUAUGCGUUGGGUGAUUUGCCCACGCGCCGUUAAUCUAUAAAGCUUUGCUUUGGUUUUAAAAAAAAAUUCACUUUAAUUUACUUACCAAACUUCUAAUCAAAAUAUAAGGUAAUUCACCAUCAAAAUUUGAUGAACAUUUAUUUACACAAUAGCAUUAUUAUUGACAGGUAAAUCAUAAGCUAACGUACUAGUAGAAUAUUUAUAUCACGUUGCAACGUACGGGCAUUGUUCUAGUUUAAUGAAAAAAAUUCAUGAGUAGGCAGAUAUUCUACGCAUGGAUAUUUUUAGCGUUAGACCACCAAAUCCUCAUAAUUUGCAAAUAUUAUACAGCACAAUUAAGCAUUAUGUGCUUGUGCAAGUCUAGUACAUAGCCCAAAAGAACGCACGUGGAAUAUCAUCCACUUCUUUGAUAAUCCUUUUAAACAGACAUGUACUCCCUCCGAGUAGUAAAUAGCUAGACUCAAUGAAGGCUACAGAGAGAAGUAGUCUGCCCUCCUUAGAGCAUCUCCAACAGGCGUCCAACAUGUGGCGCGCUAAAAUCUGGUUUGCGGCGUGUCCAUUGUCAGAUUUGGCGCGGCGCGCAGCGCUGACUCCAGUAGCCGCGCUAAAAUGCAGCGCGCGCGCAGCUCUAGCAGGGCGAGCGAGCAGCCGGUGCAUCACAUUUGUUGCAUUUUGUCACAACACAUCCACAAAACAAAGACAUGACAUAUAAUUUAAAUCACAAACAUCAUUCUCGAUGAUCAUCAUUCUCGAUGAUCAUGUUGUGCAUGAUCCCACAAGCGUGCAUUAUGUACCAAGACAUCUUAUGAUCCCAAAAUCUAGCCGGUCCUCUCACAAUAGCAAAUUGGGCUUGCAAAAUCCCAAAAGCUCGCUCCACGUCUUUUCUAGCCGCCGCCUCAGCAUUGUGAAAAUCAAGAUAUUUCUUACCUUCCGUUUUUUCAAGGCUUCACAAAUGUUUGCCACUUUGGGUAGAUGCCAUCCAAAUUUGUGGUGCAUAGCUAGGAUCAUUGCAAAAUCCUCCUCCUCUUCCAUAUCAAAUUAUUCUUCGAAAGAAUCAUAUGAUGAACUCAUCUAAAAUGUUCAAAACUAGGCUAUAAACAACAUGCACCAAAUUUCAUGUAAAAAUCUGGAAGUUGGAAGCAAUACAUACCUUGCGGGCGCCAAGCGGCAGUGGGCGGCCGGGCGCUGUUCGUCGGAGGACUGCCGCGCGCGACGGGCGGCACUGACUAGAGAGAGGGAGGAAGCCGCGGCCGCGCUGGAAGAGACUGAGGAAGCGUCGGAACGGUCGCCGGAAAAAUGGGGUGGCGCGGGCGGCGGCGGCGGCGCGGCUAGAUGGGUAGGUGGAGUUGCGCGCGAGCGCUCGAGAGUUCAACGCACGGGAGCGGGCGGAACAAAUAAGUGGCGCGCGAUGACGUUUCCGCCCGCGCGCUGAAUUACAUAUGCCGCGCGCGCGGUUUUUGCGCGUCCGCUAGCUGGAGCGCCCGAAACGAUAGCACGCGCUAAAACUACUAUUUUUUCACACGGCACGUAUAUAGCGCGGCUGUUGGAGAUGUUCUUAGACAGAAGUAGUGUACAACAAUGGGACAAGAAUAUGAAAUAACAGGCAAUAGUGGAUCAGAGUGUGGAGGACGGAAGUUUAUAUGGCGAUAGUAAGGUACGUCUAGGGAAAGGUCGCGGCAUGACAACCUAAAGUGGAAGCUAUUGAAGCUGCCAUGACUUGGUCAACAUGCAUUAGGACAAAAUUAGUUUUUUGAAAGUUGAUUGAAAGACCAGUGUCUAGGCCAAGUCUUCAAGAAUUCUUAGUCAAAUCAAGACUUAGUAAAACAGUACAUACACACUAUUAUGGCUCACUAAAGUGGAUAAUACGUUGCACGACUUAAUUGAUGACCAGUUAGUCCGACAAAUCAUCUCAGUGUAACUGUCUACGCAUCAAGAACAUAAUUAUUUAAGCUUGGAGUUUCUCCAGAGUGAAUUGUAUGUGUGAAAACCCCCAAAACACUAUAUAAACCGCAAAGAGCUUGAUUAAGUUUGCCUUUUCUUUUAUUGACAUGGUGUUCCGGAAGUUUACUUUUGGCAUUGGCGAUCAUAUUCAGCCAGGGAUGUAACUCCAAGGCUGAGACGAAGCACACAACGGAGCACCCAACAAAGAGUAAAACCUCACAACAUAGAGAAAACAGCUCCAGUUUGUCAAAUCCAGGCCUAACAAAACAAAUUAAAUCAAAUUAGCAAAGCAGUGGAGCCGCCAAUCUUACCUUGUAGGAGUACACUAUAGCGUACUGAAGUGGACGGUAAUACGUUACACUAAUUAAAUAAUGAUCAGUUAGUCCGCCAAGUCCUCUCAGUGUCGGCAUCAGAAUAUAUUUACUUACGGUAAUUAAUUAAUGAUCACUUAGUCCAACAAGUCCUCCCAGUAUAAGCAUCAAGAGUAUUAUUUAACACUGCAAGAAAGCCAAGAACACUAUAUAUACCGCAGAGAGCUUGGUUAGUUGCAGUUCAUCACAAGCCAUCUACGUACACGUACGUGGAGAAUAACACGCAUGGCUCCUCAUGCUCUCUCUUGGGUUAGUGUGCCUCUGCUCAUCUUCUUGGCGUCGUCGUCAUGCGUUGCAGCGAGGGGCGCUCGGACACCCAAAACUACUGACCCGACAGCCGGGUUCACGGUGGUGAGCCUCGAGGAGAGCAACUUCUCACUGCAGCGGCCUUUCGAUGAGGCAAGCGGCGCCCGGUACAGUUUCGACGGCACCGUCCGGACGCUGUGGGUGCUCUCCUCCGACAAGCCCCAUGCCCGGCAGAGCCAUACCAGCCCAAGAACUGAGAUCAAGAUGGAAGUAAGUUAGCUAUUACUACUACUACUCAUUUAUGUAUUUGUGAUUGUGAAUGUAAUUAACUAUAUAAUCAAAGAUCUUAUUGGUUGCUUUUGCUAUUCUUCUACCUGCAGGGAUACGACUACAGCUCCGGCGUGUGGCAAUUUGAGGGCCACGGCUACGUCCCCUCAGGCACGACCGGGGUGUCCAUCAUGCAGGUGUUUGGCGCCGGCGAGACAGCCACCACCCUCAUGCUGCACGUCUACAACGGUGCGCUGCGGUACUACGACCGCCAGGUCGUGGAAGACGACAUCUAUGACAGGUGGUUCCGGCUUAACGUGGUCCACGACGUGAAGGCAUCGACGCUCACCGUGUACAUCGACGGCAAGCAGAAGCUGCACGUCCAUGGCCGUGGUGGCCACUCACAUUACUUCAAGUUUGGUGUGUACGCGCAGAACCAUGACUCCAGGUGCAUGGAGUCUCGCUGGAAGGGGAUCAGGAUCUUCAAGAAAGAGUGACACAUUGAUUCAGAUUUUAUGGCCGAUUACAUAUUUUUCUGGGAUAUAAUAUAUUUAUGUUGUCGCCUUAUCAUAGUGAUUGUGUAUUAUUGUGGACUUAUGAUAUGUACUAAUACAUAUGAGGCUGAGUAUGUAUGUUAUUUGUUUGUGGUAAUUUAGUUUUUCUUUAAUGACCCGAUGAUGUUUUAGAUGUGAGGACAAUAUUCGUUACAGAAUGCGUACACAGUUUGCAUGCGUACAUGAAUAAGUUUGUAACUAAUGUAAAAACAUAUCCUGAGAAUGGGAAUAAAUUACAAUAAACCAAACUUGAACAAUUUGCACUUGACUGACACACAAUGUGCUUGAUUAAUUAGAAGGCGUAUGAAUUUUGUCUGAAGUCAAACAGUGUAAAGUUUAACGACAUUUUUAGUAAAAACUAUGAACAACUACAAUAUUAAUUAAUUAGAUAUGAAAAAAAUAUUGUAUAUUUAAUGAUAUUAUUUUGGUAUUGUAGUUCCAACCAAAUCCUGGAAGCAAUAUGAUUUAAUGACCUGAUGAUGCAUGUGAAAACAGUAUUCAUCACAGUACGCGUACAUAGUUACCAUUUUUGCAGAUGUAUACUUAGUAAAUAAUAUUCAAACUGGAACAAAUAUUGUUUCCCGGAAAUAGUCCGGUUUCUAAGCAGUGUAUGUUAAAACUUUUGCAAAACAUUCUCAAAUUUACAACAACAAAUUGAUGUCAUAUACGAGGGAACCAUGCCAAGUUUCAUGUUUUUCAAUUUUUUACGACAACAAAUUGAUGUCAUAUAAUGUCACAAUUUUCUAUAUCACGAACAUUUUUGAAUCAGUGAACAUUUUUUGGAAUAUGGGGACAUUUUUUGAAAUAUGGGAACAAUUUUAUAAAAUCCACAAACAUUUUUUUAAUCAACGAACUUUAAAAAAAUUGGAACAAUAUUUGAAAUUCAUGAUCAUAUUUUUUUGAAUUCAUGAAUGUUUUUAAAUUUUGCAAAAAAAAUUUAUUUUGGAAAGAUUUUAAUAGAAAGCGGGUGGAAAUCUAAAAAACCUAACAAAAAACCUCGUUUUCAACAAAGAAACGCUGAAAACCAAUACAAAUACAUUAGGCAAGCUCAGUAGCGCUCGCUGUCCUAGUUGGGCCAGAAAAAUUCAUGGAUGCAGGAGGAAGGGUGCGCAUUUCCUCGCUACUCCCCUCGUAGGUCAGGGUAUAGGAGAUCCCCUCCAUGACUUCUUUGGGUUGUAACAGCGGCGGAGCUUCACGGGGUCAACUUGGGCCACCCACCACCCCAGCCCAUGAAGAAAUCUCCUAAUACUCUUUAGUAUUUGGGCCCUAAGUGCGGUAAAAACAACCCAAACCUCGUAAUUUUGCCCACCCUCAGCCAUUUCCCCUUCAAAGAUUUGGCCCUAGCUCCGCCACUAAGUCAUCACAUUUCUAUAUGAAUCCGUCAUCAGAUGCCUUGAGUAAACAUCAAUUGAACCUGGCCUCAUUUUAUCACAUGCCCAGACAGUGGCACCUCUCCGCAAUGUAGCUCCUCGCUGCAUUGCAAGGAUGAAGGAGGCAAUGGUUGGCUUCAUCACCAGCAAUCGCAGGCCCACCGAGGUAGCCCACUGUGUAGGGACAACCCCAAUCAUCAUAGUGUACUCCGUGUACAUGAAAGAUCAUGGUGAUGCUGACAAUUUCUCCUAAAACAACCCAGAGAAAAAUAAUUGAAUAAAUUUCAACAGAGAAGCCGAUAUUAUAGGGAAGAACGCUAAUGGGUCGCCAUUCUCAAAGAGGAAGGUGCUAACGCUGGAAGUGGCAAUGGGGUACACCGCCAUUUCCAUGAUUUUUUAGAAAAGGAGGAUGACCACCGGCCUCUGCAUCUGGGAGAUGCAUACGACCACUUUAUUAAUUAUUCUCGAGGACCUUACAAAGUAUUACAAACAAUAUACCUGAAUCCACCAUCUUGGCAACAUAUGCCGCUACUCUUAUCCAUAUGAUGAAGGGAUGCUAGCUAGGCUCCUACCCAAACCACUCACCUAAACCUAACAUCAAAAGCCGGAAACGUCAGCCGAGCCACAUACCGGGUCUGGGGCACAAUCCGGUCAGACGCACUCUUGCGUCGUCGCCGUCAUCUUCCACAGGUCCGUCUUCAGAUAAUAUUGAGUCUUCUACCUUGUGAAGGCCACAUCAGCCAUCGACGUCACCAUGACGCCAGACAGCUACCUCCUCCUGCGCGAGUCCAUCCGCGCAUCGGACGCCGAGCCUCCACGGCACCAUGCCGCCAAUCUCCCCUGUCAUUGCCAUGAUGCCAAUCCCCGUCGUGUAGUCGGAUCUUCCUAAACCGGCUAAAAAGGUAUUUUAGUUAGUUUCCUACUUAUUUCUCUGCUCGUUAUUUUUUCAGUCCGUACAUUUUAGAAAACUGGCGCACUUAGUGGCAUUUUUGCUGCUGGUUUUCAUGAAACCGGUUGUAAUCAAAGUUUUAAAUAGCUGGCUAUAGAGGUUUGAGCAAGGUGCCACUAAAUAGUAUUCAUGUGUGACUGUUCAAUAAAAUUACAAAAUAGCGACCUAUAGCCCCACUAUGGCCGCGCUAUAGUUGUUUGAGCAUGGUGCGCUAUUUCAAAACUAUGGUUGUGACGAGGGAUCAAAAUUUGUUUUAUUAGUAGUGAAAGAAUUACAUAUUGAGAAAGUAGUCCAUAUGUAUAUUUAUGGCUUUCAAGUAUAUACAACCUAAACAUAAAAUAUCUGAACAUUUGCAGCGCCUCCUACUCCGCCAGGUCCGCGUCCGGCGCGACCGCCCUGCCGGCGGUGACAUGCUCCUCCACCUGGAGAUGCUCCUGAAGGAGGUUGUGGUUGUAGUUGGCGUCGGCCCGCGCCUCCCGGAACUGCUACUCCCGCACCAUGUCCAUAUAAUGGGCACGGGCCUUGCCGAUGGUCAUGGUGCAAUGCACCGGCGAGGGUGGAGCGAAGGAGGAGGGUGCCGCGGAAAAAGAGGAGGAUAGCGAUGGCUCGUUGGAGGAGGCGUCCUCCAUUUGCACGUCCUCUGGCUGCCUGCCGGCCUGCCAGUCAGCAGCAAUGGAAGCCAUGGCCUUCUUUUGCUCCGACGUAAGCCCGUCCCAGCGAGCUUUGGCUGCGUGGGUGUAGGACCUUGAAGUAUGUCUAGAGGGNNNNNNNNNNNNNNNNNNNNNNNNNNNNNNNNNNNNNNNNNNNNNNNNNNNNNNNNNNNNNNNNNNNNNNNNNNNNNNNNNNNNNNNNNNNNNNNNNNNNNNNNNNNNNNNNNNNNNNNNNNNNNNNNNNNNNNNNNNNNNNNNNNNNNNNNNNNNNNNNNNNNNNNNNNNNNNNNNNNNNNNNNNNNNNNNNNNNNNNNNNNNNNNNNNNNNNNNNNNNNNNNNNNNNNNNNNNNNNNNNNNNNNNNNNNNNNNNNNNNNNNNNNNNNNNNNNNNNNNNNNNNNNNNNNNNNNNNNNNNNNNNNNNNNNNNNNNNNNNNNNNNNNNGAUUAGACUACUUGACCAAUUAAAAACUUAACCUUUUUCCAAUUUUAGAGUUUGGCAGAUUUUAGCUAUCUUAGGACAAGUCAAGCAAUCAUCACACAAUUCAAGCAAGCAUGCAAGAGUAUAUAUGCAACGGAAAUUAAAGCAUGCAACUUGCAAGAAAGUAAAGGGAAGGGUUUGGAGGAUUCAAACGCAGUUGGAGACACGGAUUUUUUGGCGUGAUUCCGAUAGGUGGUGCUAUUGUACAUCCACGUUGAUGGAGACUUCAACCCACGAAGGGUAAUGGUUGCGCGAGUCCACGAAGGGCUCCACCCAAGAAGGGUCCACGAAGAAGCAACCUUGUCUAUCCCACCAUGGCCAUCGCCCACGAAGGACUUGCCUCACUAGCGGUAGAUCUUCACGAAGUAGGCGAUCUCCUUGCCCUUACAACCUCCUUGGUUCUGUUGGGGAAUGUAGCAGAAAUUCAAAAUUUUCUACGCAUCACCAAGAUCAAUCUAUGGAGUAAUCUAGCAACGAGGGGAAGGAGAGUGCAUCUACAUACCCUUUUAGAUCGCUAAGCGGAAGCGUUCAAGAGAACGGGGUUGAAGGAGUCGUACUCGUCGUGAUCCAAAUCACCGGAGAUCCUAGUGCCGAACGGACGGCACCUCCGCGUUCAACACACGUACAGCCCGGUGACGUCUCCCAUGCCUUGAUCCAGCAAGGAGAGAGGGAGAGGUUGAGGAAGACUCCGUCCAGCAGUAGCACGACGGCGUGGUGGUGGUGGAGGAGCGUGGCAAUCCUGCAGGGCUUCGCCAAGCACCGCAAGAGAGGAGGAGCACUUGGGAGAGGGGGAGGGCUGCGCCAGGGGCAAGGGUGAAGCUCCCGUGCGCCUCCCCACUAUAUAUAGGGGUGGAGGGGGCUGGUUUCUUGCCCUCCAAGUCCAUUGGGGCGUUGGCAAAGGUGGGAGGAAAGAAAUCACAUCAUUUCCUUCCCCACCGAUUGUUAUCCCCCCUUUUUAGGGAUCUUGAUCUUAUCCCUUCGGGAUAUGAUCUUAUUCCUUCUAAGGGGGGAUCUUGGUGCGCCUUGACCAGGGGUGUGGGGCCUUGCCCCCACUACCCACGUUCAUGUGGGUCCCCCCAUGCAGGUGGGCCCCACUCCAGAACCUUCUAGAACCUUCCCGGUACAAUACCGAAAAAUCCCGAACAUUUUCCAGUGGCCAAAAUAGGACUUCGCAUAUAUAAAUCUUUACCUCCGGACCAUUCCGGAACUCCUCAUGACGUCCGGGAUCUCAUCCAGGACUCCGAACAACAUUCGGUAACCACAUACAAACUUCCUUUAUAACCCUAGCGUCAUCGAACCUUAAGUGUGUAGACCCUACGGGUUCGGGAACCAUGCAAACAUGACCGAGACAACUCUCCGGCCAAUAACCAACAGCGGGAUCUGGAUACCCAUGUUGGAUCCCACAUGUUCCACGAUGAUCUCAUUAGAUGAACCACGAUGUCAAGGAUUCAAUCAAUCCCGUAUUCAAUUCCCUUUGUCUAACGGUAUUGUACUUGCCCGAGAUUCGAUCGUCGGUAUACCGAUACCUUGUUCAAUCUCGUUACCGGCAAGUCUCUUUACUCGUUCCGUAAUACAUCAUCCCGUGAUCAACCCCUUGGUCACAUUGUGCACAUUAUGAUGAUGUCCUACCGAGUGGGCCCAGAGACACCUCUCCGUUUACACGGAGUAACAAAUUCCAGUCUCGAUUCGUGCCAACCCAACAGACACUUUCGGAGAUACCUAUAGUGCACCUUUAUAGCCACCCAUUUACGUUGUGACGUUUGGUACACCCAAAGCAUUCCUACGGUAUCCGGGAGUUGCACAAUCUCAUGGUCUAAGGAAAAGAUACUUGACAUUAGAAAAGCUUUAGCAUACGAACUACACGAUCUUUGUGCUAGGCGUAGGAUUGGGUCUUGUCCAUCACAUCAUUCUGCUAAUGAUGUGAUCCCGUUAUCAACGACAUCCAAUGUCCAUGGUCAGGAAACUGUAACCAUCUAUUGAUCAACGAGCUAGUCAACUAGAGGCUUACUAGGGACAUGGUGUUGUCUAUGUACCCACACAUGUAUCUGAGUUUCCUAUCAAUACAAUUAUAGCAUGGAUAAUAAACGAUUAUCAUGAAUAAGGAAAUAUAAUAAUAACUAAUUUAUUAUUGCCUCUAGGGCAUAUUUCCAACAGGUUCAACUCCACAAUCUUAUCGGAGGCUCCCAAGUGACACCUAGCCAAUCUAGGAGACACCACUCUCCAAGAAGUAACAAAUGGUGCAUUGAUGAUGAACUCCUUGCUCUUGUGCUUCAAAUGAUAGUCUCCCCAACACUCAACUCUCUCUCAUAGGAUUUGGAUCUGGUGGAAAGAAGAUUUGAGUGGAAAGCAACUUGGGGAAGGCUAGAGAUCAAGAUUCAUAUGAUAGGAAUGGAAUAUCUUGGCCUCAACACAUGAGUAGGUAGUUCUCUCUCAGAAAUGGUGAGUUGGAAGUGUAGGUUUCGUCUGAUGGCUCUCUCUCAGAAUGAAGAGGAGGUGGAGGGGUAUAUAUAGCCUCCACACAAAAUCUAACCGUUACACACAAUUUACCAAACUCAGUGGGACCGAUUCAACAGACUCGGUCAGACCGAUUUAGUAAACCUAGUGACCGUUAGUGAUUUUCGGUGGGACUGACAUGCAACUCGGUAGGACCGAUUCGGUUAGGGUUAGGGCAUAACGUAAUCUCGGUAAGACCGAUUACAGAAACUCGGUGAGACCGAUUUUGGUAAUAAGCUUUCCAGAGAGUUGGUCAGGUAAACUCGGUGGGACCGACUUUCUCUUUUUGGUGAGACCGAAAUGUUACAAAAGGGAAACAGAGAGUUUACAUUGCAAUCUCGGUGGGACCGAUCGCUCACUUCGGUUUGACCGAAACGUUACGAAGGGAAACAAAGAUAUUACAAUCCCAUCUCGGUGAGACCAAGAUCCCUAUCAAUACAAUUAUAGCAUGGAUAAUAAACGAUUAUCAUGAACAAGGAAAUAUAAUAAUAACUAAUUUAUUAUUGCCUCUAGGGCAUAUUUCCAACAGGUUCAACUCCACAAUCUUAUCGGAGGCUCCCAAGUGACACCUAGCCAAUCUAGGAGACACCACUCUCCAAGAAGUAACAAAUGGUGCAUUGAUGAUGAACUCCUUGCUCUUGUGCUUCAAAUGAUAGUCUCCCCAACACUCAACUCUCUCUCAUAGGAUUUGGAUCUGGUGGAAAGAAGAUUUGAGUGGAAAGCAACUUGGGGAAGGCUAGAGAUCAAGAUUCAUAUGAUAGGAAUGGAAUAUCUUGGCCUCAACACAUGAGUAGAUAGUUCUCUCUCAGAAAUGGUGAGUUGGAAGUGUAGGUUUCGUCGGAUGGCUCUCUCUUAGAAUGAAGAGGAGGUGGAGGGGUAUAUAUAGCCUCCACACAAAAUCUAACCGUUACACACAAUUUACCAAACUCAGUGGGACCGAUUCAACAGACUCGGUCAGACCGAUUUAGUAAACCUAGUGACCGUUAGUGAUUUUCGGUGGGACUGACAUGCAACUCGGUAGGACCGAUUCGGUUAGGGUUAGGGCAUAACGUAAUCUCGGUAAGACCGAUUACACAAACUCGGUGAGACCGAUUUUGGUAAUAAGCUUUCCAGAGAGUUGGUCAGGUAAACUCGGUGGGACCGACUUUCUCUUUUUGGUGAGACCGAAAUGUUACAAAAGGGAAACAUAGAGUUUACAUUGCAAUCUCGGUGGGACCGAUCGCUCACUUCGGUUUGACCGAAACGUUACGAAGGGAAACAAAGAUAUUACAAUCCCAUCUCGGUGAGACCAAGAUCCCUAUCGGUAGAACCGAUUUGCCUAGGGUUUGUGGCAGUGGCUAUGACAUUUGAACUCGGUGGCGCCGGAUAGGAAGAAUCAGUGUGACCGACUUUGGCUUUGGGUUUAGGUCAUUUGUGGAUGUGAGAAAGUAGCUGAGGGUUUUGGAGCAUAUCACUAAGCACAUGAAGCAAGAGGCUCAUUAAGCAACACCUCAUUCCUCCUUGAUAGUAUUGGCUUUUCCUAUAGACUCAAUGUGAUCUUGGAUCACUAAAAUAUAAAAUGAAGAGUCUUGAGCUAAUGAGCUUGAGCCAAUCCUUUGUCCUUAGUAUUUUGAGGGAUCCACUUUCAUCAUCCAUGCCAUGCCAUUCAUUGAGCUUUCGUAAAAUAUUAGUCUUGGAAUAGCAUUAGCUCAAUGAGCUAUAUGUUGUUAUGAAUUACCAAAACCACCUAGGGAUAGUUGCACUUUCAAUCUCCCCCUUUUUGGUAAUUGAUGACACAUAUAGAUCAAAGCUUCGACAAAUGAUAAUAAGAUUGAAAAACAUCGUCGCUUUGAGAAGUAUGUGAUAAGCAAGAGCUCCCCCUAAAUUUAUGCAUAGUUUAAGAUUUGCUUUGGACUGCAAAUGCACAAGGAAUUAGGCUCAUGGGUUACUCUUCCAUGUCACAUAUAUCUUGGUGGAGCGCUCAAAAUGAUAAAGAUUGAAUACAUGCACUCAUCACCAAGCAAAGUGAAUGAUCACAUAGGAUAGAUAGGAUAAUAUCAUCAAACAUGCAUAAGUGUAGCUUAUGAUCAAACACAUGAUCAUCAAUGUCUCACAAGAAUAGCAUAGUAUAUCAAGCAAUCAAAAGCAAACAAGUUUAAAACCACCAAAGCAAGAGAGAACAAAAGCAACUCUCUCUCUCUCUCUCUCGAAGCCUAUGAUCUAUACAUUUUUCUCCCCCUUUGGCAACAAGUUACCAAAAAGUUCAUAGAAAAUGCAUAGUGUUAGAUCGACUCUCAGGCUUGAUCUUCAGUUGGUGGUGUAGAGAUGGCUCCUUGGAUGAAGGCUCCAGUUGAUGUAGAGGGAGCUGGAGGAGUUGGUGCUGGAGGUGGUUGUACUGGAGCUGUAGGAGCUGUGGCUGGUGCAGAUGAUGUUGCUCUAGUGUAUGUCACUGGCACUGCAGCUGACCUCUGAGCUCUAGGCACUCUGAAAAAUACAUUAGUGGUAGUCUUGCCCUUCCUCUCCUGCAUGUCAUCCUGCAGCUGCUCCUCAACUGACUGAAUCUCAGUUACCUUGACAUCAAGAUCAUAGAAUUUUUGUUCCAUGAUUCUUUCUAAGCUCUCCUGAUUCUGAGUUAAGGUGGCCAACCCCUUCUCAAUCCUUAGUGUUGAUGCUAUCAAGUAACCAAGCUGCUCCUGCUUGUUCUUCAAGAAAUACUCAGAUGCCUCCUCUUGAGUUGGCAUCUUGGCAGCCUUCUCCUUGCUUGCCUUCUCCUUCUUCUCUUGAGCUUGAACUGAUGAUGGAUCAUCCUCAUUCAUGACAACCUCAUAGUCCUCAAAGUCUGGAUAGAGAGGAAAAUGUUCCCUAUCCAAUAGAUAUUUGCUUGUGCCCAUCUUUGAGUUAAUCAACUCCUGAAUCCGAGGGGCAUAUCCACAACUCCUCUUAUGAUCUGCUGCAGUCCUCUUAAUAGUUUCUACUAUAAGGCUCAUGACCUUGAAUUUCUGAGGCACAUCAAACAAAUGCAACAUGUUGAUUGCAUGCCCUCUGAUCAUGUUGUGGUCACCAUACUUAGGCAAUAGAGUGUGCCUUAGGAUCCACUUUAUUGUAGGCAGCCCUAACAUAAGAAAGUGGACUGAUCCAAAAGAGAAAGUCUCUAGGGCCUUGUCUGGGAUCUCCUUGUACAUAUGUGCCAUGGUAUUAUGUCCCAUUUUCUUCUUGGCAUAUACAUCCAGGUCAUCAUCAUUUUCCUUUGGGGCAUUUAUCAGUUUUGCCCACUCCUCAACAGUUGACUGGUACCUUGUACCUUCAGACAUCCAAACUAUCCUUCCAUCUGGAUAGAAGUGUGCUGUGGAGUAGAAUUGCAUAAUGAGUUCAUCAUUCCAAUUUGUGAGCUUCUGCCCAACAAAAUCUGCAACUCCAUAAGCAACAAACUGUCUUGUACUCCUGGAUAGUGUUCUUCAUUUUCCUUCAUGUAGGUCCAGUCGACCCACCUCAUAUCACAACAAUGGGCUUUUUGUCCAACAAGAUUGUCUCAUAGAAGUCCCGCUGUUCCUUUGUAUGGAACUUGUAAUCAAUAGCAAUUCUUCUCCUUGUGGCAUAUGGAUCUGCCAUCCUCCAUAGCCUCAACCCUGAAUCUUUUCUGAUGUUCAUGUCCUCAUCUACAAGAUGGGCAUCAUUAUGGUCUGGUAUCUUGGGCUUGAGCUUCCUCAGAACUUGUCCUUCUUCAUCUUCCUCCUCAGCAGCCUCAGGCACUGGGGCCUUGUUCUUCUUAGCAGCUGAAAUACUCCUGGUAUUCCUCUUUGGUGCAUACUUGGCCUUGGGGGCAGCUUUGGGUGCUUCCUUGGGCUUAGAUGUUGUAGCCCCUGAUCUAAUAGCAUCUCCCAUAAGCUUUGGUGCCUUUGGUGCUGGUGCAGCAAGAUCUUCUUCUUCCAUCAUGGAAGGUUGCCCAACUACUCUGGCCAUGGUCUUCUUGACCCUUUCCUUCCUUUUCUUUCCUUCAGCAGCUGGCUCUUCAGGCAUCUCAGGCAGUUGAGUUGAUGCUCUGGCUUUGGACAUUGGUUGUCUCCCUGCAGGCCUUUUGAUCUUCAUGCCUGGCUUUACUGCAGUUGAACUAAGCACCUUCUUGUGCACUACCUUCUUGGAAGUAGCUUCAUCCUCUUCAGAUCUAUAAUCCUCAUCUUCAGAGUCUGAAGUUCUCUUCUUCCUUUGCCUGGUAGCAGCCUUAGGCAGGUUGCUAGGAGUGCUCCUGCUGCCUUCAUCUGAAGUGCUGGAGGGACUAGUGCCCUCACUCAUUUGCAUAUGCCCUUCUGACCUGUUCUGACUGUCACUCUGGUUUGACAUGCUGCAAACUCUGACUGCUGACCCUGUGAAGAGUUAUAGAUGAGAUGGAGUGGAUGAGCAUCACAAAAUGCAGAGAUUUUUGCAAAAGAAUGAUUCAAAAAUUCAGUUUUAGUUUUCCACAGAAAGCAUUUCGGAUCAACCGAUUUUCACACUAGGUGAUACCGAAGCAGUUUUGGAACCUAAACUAAUGAACUCAGUUGGACCGAGUCACAGUUCGGUGGCACCGAGAUUGCUAGGGUUUCACAAAGUCCUAAAAUCGGUAGCACCGAUUAGCAAUUCUCGAUCAGAGCGAGAGUUACUAGUGCAAUGGCAUAAGCCAAAUCGGCGGGACCGAGUUUUUCAACUCGGUGGGUCCGAGAUGGUUUCGGCGGAAACCUAACCCUAAAUUUUCAAAUCUCAUCUAAUCUACGGAUUGCAUUGACUGGAUCGGAGUGUUUCAAUCGUGGCAAGAAUCAAUAAGAACACAAUGUGUUAGCAAUCGGACGAGGAUAGCACAGUGAUCGAGUCCAUACCCUAGCUUGGCGAUGAACUCGCUACGGCGGCAACGGCGGGGUUGAAUUCUGUUGAUGGCGGCGGAGACCAGCGACAGGAGGCGGCUGGCGACGAGGAGACGAUCCGGAGACCUUGGAGGCAGAGCGAGCUAUUGCACGGGCGAAGGGUUUCGGAGAAAUUUCCAAAUUUUGCUCGUGACUAUAUAUAGCCCGACCCUGUCGAUGUGACUGAGUGGAACAAGUCAGUGGCACCGAGAUGCAUAACUGUGUUCAGUUGCAGCAACUCGGUGUGACCGAAAAGUUCAAAUCGGUUGCACCGAGAUUAAAAACCUAGAUCGACUUAGUGAUCUCGGUAGGACCGAAAUGGAGGAAUCGGUCAGACCGAGAAUCACAAAGAAGUUUUGGAAGUUUAAGUCUAUGACGAAUCAGGGACUCCGAGUGCUCCUCACACAGAGUGGUUCGAAUCUGACUUGAUCAAAUUUUGUGAUGUAGCAUGAAUAGAGUUUGAGAGAGAAAAGCAUAGAUAGCUAGAGAAAGUUCUUAGGCAUUCUUGUCCAUCCACUUGGCCAAAAGAAGGAAGAACCAAACAAUCAAAACAACAAGUGAAUGUCCUUGAAUGAGUAAAUAUGCACCAACAUGCUCACACAAUAAGAUGGCAAAUGAAAUAUGUGGCAAAGCAUGCACAACCAAUUCUAGCAUCUAUCAAACAAUUGGCGAUGACUAGGUCAUCUAUAUAUGAGUAUAUUGACUUAGGAGUCAAAUGAUAAACAUUUGAUCAUAGGUCAUACUCAUCGUUUAAGCCCAAGUGGGGUUACCACUUUUACAUAAUGCAUUGAUGUGUUCACACCAUUAGAGUUGCUUUGACUCAAGUCUUACAGUUAAGCUCCCCCUAGAUGUGAGAUCCCCUUUUAGAGGGAUGAACUAACCUUGGGUUUUGUCGAUGAUGACUUCAUGUAGGUGUUGAAGAUGUGGAUGCUCAAUGUUGAUGUAGAUCAUUUGGAGCAAUCCAUUGGAGUGAGUUGCACUUUCAACAUACCUACAUGGGUUAGUCCCACAAGGAACAAACAAGAAUAUCCAUAGACAUAGAGUGAUGCACACACAAGAUGAUGUCCAUGAAAACAUUAGUUUACCUUGUUCCUUGCCUUACCAACAUGAGGGUUUGUGACUCCUUGAACUAGUGCAAGAUGUGGAAGUUGAUUGCACUUGUCCUUGCCAUAAUAAUAUGAGUGAAGAAUGUUGGCGGAGUCACCCUCAAGAACUCUCUAGUUCUUCUUCUUCGGGAUCCACAUCAUCUUGAUGGGAAUCCUUUGAGUUGUAGUUGUACUUGAUGAAGUAGAACUUGACGUAGUCAUGGGAAUCCACUUGACCGAGACCUUAGGUGCUUCUUCAAAUGCAUUAAUCUCUUCUUGAAGCUUGUCCUUGCCUUUGUUCUUGUGGUCUUGUGGUGGAAGAUCAUCUUGAGCUUGUGUUCCCUUGAAGGAAGUAGGAUCAUACUUCUCUUGUUGAGGAACAAACUUUGUCUUGGGGUAUUGAUCUUCUUCCCACUCAACUCCAUUGGCAUUGAACUUUCGUUCAAAACCAACACCUUGAUUCUUCCAGUGCCUUCCUUGCUUGCGUACAAUUUCCUCGAAUUGCUUACUCCCGGCAAGGCUCUUGUAAACACCUUUCUCUAUAAUUCCCUUCAAUAAGCUAUUUUCUUGCUCAAGUGUAACUUGGCUAAGAGAAUCAUUAGUGGAAUCAAGAGAACUACUAGAAGCAACAAUAUUGGAUUUGACAUUGUUAUUGUUACUACUAGAGGAAGUAUUUUUCUUGUACUUGUUACUAGACUUGACUUGAGGCAUGUAAGUAGAUAGGAGUAAACGCUUGGCAAUGUAAGAAGAACUUUUCUUAUGAAGAUCAUCAUUGAUUGCUUUUAAGAACUCAUGCUCUUGCUCAAGAUUGAGCUUUUCAAAGCGUAACUUAUCAUGAGCCCUUAAAAGUUCUUGAUGAUUUUCGAAUAUAGUUUCAUGAGCCAACUUAAGAGUGUUUAGUUCUUUAGUUAGAAGCUCAAUCUUAUCCUUAUCAUUGUCAUUCGUUUUAUCUUGAUUAGCUUGAUUAAUUGACGUUUCAUCAUAGUAUUCAUCACUAGAGUUGUCAACAAGUAAAUCAUCAUCCACAAGCAAGUAAUCUUCUUCACUAUUGAAAUCAACAUACUCAGGAUGUGUUACCUUUGGACCUUUGGCCAUGAAGCAUCUUCCAAUUCUUCAUUGGUGAAUCAAAUAUGUCGUAGGAGUUGGUCGACACAAGUGCUAGACCGGCAACACCUUCAUCUUGAGUAUAUUCGGAGUCGGAGUGAUAGCUUCUCUCGGAGUGUUUGUCAGAGUCGGAGCCGGAAACCCAUUCACCAACAUGAGCUUGAUGUCUUUGUUUUGUGUAGCUCCUUGAUGACUUGUCCUUCCUUUCCGAAUCUUUGCUUCUCCGUGAGGAUCAUCGUUCAUAACGAUCAUCUCUACUCCUUCUCUCUCUUGGUGGUGAUUCUUCUCUUCUACUUCUUAUUUUUGGAGAAUCUUCUCUUCUUUUGUAGGGUGCCGUACACUCAUUGGAAUAGUGUCCAGGCCUCCCACAAUUGUAGCAAUUGCGCUCUCGACUAGAAGAUCUUUUGUCAUGGUAAGACCUUGACUUGGAGCUUCUUUCUUUGCUUCUACUCUUGUAGAAUUUGUUGAAGUUCUUCACCAUUAAGCUCAAUUCUUCAUUGAAGGUUUGUUUCUCACUUGAUGAUGUGGGGGCUUCACUUGAGGCUUUGUAAGCACCACUUGACUUGUUGUGAAGUUCCUCCUUAUCCUUGAGUGAUGUCUCAUGAGUAACAAUCCUUCCAAUGACUUCCGUUGGCUUGAGAUCUUUGUAGUUUGGCAUCAUUUGGAUCAAUGUGCACACGGUAUCAUACUUUCCAUCCAAUGCUCUUAGGAUCUUCUUGAUGAUGAAUCUGUCGGUCAUCUCUUCACUCCCUAAGCCAUCAAUCUCAUUUGUAAUAAGAGCAAUCCUAGAGUACAUUUCAGCGACACCUUCACCAUCCUUCAUUUUGAACUUGUCAAGCUGACUUUGGAGCACAUCCAACUUGGAUUCCUUGACGGAUUCGGUACCUUCGUGCAUAUCAAUAAAAGUGUCCCAAAUUUCCUUUGCAUUCUCAAGACGGCUGAUUUUGUUGAAUUCUUCGGGGCACAAUCCGUUGAAGAUGAUAUCACAAGCUUGAGCGUUGUAUUGUAGCAUCUUCAAUUCUUCCGCAUUAGCUUCACGGUUCGGCUCUCUCCCAUCAAAUAAUUCACCUUGCAAGCCAAUACAAAUAAUAGCCCAAACGGCGGGGUUAUGUCCGAGAAUAUGCAUUUUCAUCUUAUGCUUCCAACUAGCAAAAUUAGUACCAUCAAAGUAAGGACCUCUACGGUGAUAAUUUCCCUCGCUAGACACCAUACUCUCCUAGGUUAUGAAACCGAGGCUAUGACCACCAAAAGCUAUGGAAAUCAAAGCAAAUGGAGACAAAAGCUCUAAUACCACUUGUAGGACCUUGAAGUAUGUCUAGAGGGGGGGGGGGUGAUUAGACUACUUGACCAAUUAAAAACUUAACCUUUUCCCAAUUUUAGAGUUUGGCAGAUUUUAGCUAUCUUAGGACAAGUCAAGCAAUCAUCACACAAUUCAAGCAAGCAUGCAAGAGUAUAUAGGCAGCGGAAAUUAAAGCAUGCAACUUGCAAGAAAGUAAAGGGAAGGGUUUGGAGGAUUCAAACGCAGUUGGAGACAUGGAUGUUUUUGGCGUGGUUCUGAUAGGUGGUGCUAUCGUACAUCCACGUUGAUGGAGACUUCAACCCACGAAGGGUAACGGUUGCGCGAGUCCACGGAGGGCUCCACCCAAGAAGGGUCCACGAAGAAGCAACCUUGUCUAUCCCACCAUGGCCGUCGCCCACGAAGGACUUGCCUCACUAGCGGUAGAUCUUCACGAAGUAGGCGAUCUCCUUGCCCUUACAAACUCCUUGGUUCAACUCCACAAUCUUGUCGGAGCCUCCCAAGAGACACCUAGCCAAUCUAGGAGACACCACUCUCCAAGAAGUAACAAAUGGUGCAUUGAUGAUGAACUCCUUGCUCUUGUGCUUCAAAUGAUAGUCUCCCCAACACUCAACUCUCUCUCAUAGGAUUUGGAUCUGGUGGAAAGAAGAUUUGAGUGGAAAGCAACUUGGGGAGGUCUAGAGAUCAAGAUUCAUAUGGUAGGAAUGGAAUAUCUUGGCCUCAACACAUGAGUAGGUAGUUCUCUCUCAGAAAUGGUGAGUUGGAAGUGUAGGUUUCAUCUAAUGGCUCUCUCUCCGAAUGAAGAGGAGGUGGAGGGGUAUAUAUAGCCUCCACACAAAAUCUAACCGUUACACACAAUUUACCAAACUCGGUGGGACCGAUUCAACAGACUCGGUUGGACCUAUUUAGUAAACCUAGUGACCGUUAGUAAUUUUCGGUGGGACUGACAUGCAACUCGGUAGGACCGAUUCGGUUAGGGUUAGGGCAUAACGUAAUCUCGGUAAGACAGAUUACACAAACUCGGUGAGACCGAUUUUGGUAAUAAGCUUUCCUGAGAGUUGGUUAGGUAAACUCGGUGGGACCGAUUUGCUCUUUUCGGUGAGACCGAAAUGUUACAAAAGGGAAACAGAGAGUUUACAUUGCAAUCUCGGUGGGACCGAUUGCUCAGUUCGGUUUGACCGAAACAUUACGAAGGGAAACAGAGAGAUUACAAUCCCAUCUCGGUGAGACCGAGAUCCCUAUCGGUAGAACCGAUUUGCCUAGGGUUUGUGGUAGUGGCUAUGACAUUUGAACUCGAUGGCGCCGGAUAGGAAGAAUUGGUGUGACCGAUUUUGGCUUUGGGUUUAGGUCAUUUGUGGAUGUGAGAAAGUAGCUGAGGGUUUUGGAGCAUAUCACUAAGCACAUGAAGCAAGAGGCUCAUUAAGCAACACCUCAUCCCUCCUUGAUAGUAUUGGCUUUUCCUAUAGACUCAAUGUGACCUUGGAUCACUAAAAUAUAAAAUGAAGAGUCUUGAGCUAAUGAGCUUGAGCCAAUCCUUUGUCCUUAGUAUUUUGAGGGAUCCACUUUCAUCAUCCAUGCCAUGCCAUUCAUUGAGCUUUCCUGAAAUAUUAGUCUUGGAAUAGCAUUAGCUCAAUGAGCUAUAUGUUGUUAUGAAUUACCAAAACCACCUAGGGAUAGUUGCACUUUCAGUGGGGAUCCAUGACGGGGAGUGGUGUGGAGAGGGAUGACUGUGGCUAUGGCCGGGGGACCAGGGCAAUGGUUUAUAUAGCACCGGUGGGCGGCAGUCGAAGGGACGAGUGGCGUCGGAGGAGACGCCCCGGCAACCGCGUGCCAUGAAUACGGACGGUAGGGCAGCCGUCGUGUUGUCUGAACAUAUGGCAGCCGCUUGCACUGGGAAGUGGCGUGGGCGGCGCUCUCUCGACUGGCGCCCUGCUUCAAUGCCGGCGCUAGUGAGUGGUCGUGUUCGCUUUGGGCGGCAAUGAAUGCGGGCGCUGACGUAAAAUGCGUGAGAGAGGUGAUGGGUUUUGGUCGGCCAGGGCGGUCAGAAAUGGGCUUGGGAUCGAUCCGUACUCCUGCAAACCUCCCCCACUUUUGUCUCUAGUUUGCAGGAGAAAUCGCGUCCGACCUUGUCGCGGACCGACACAUGCCCACGUUAGAUGGCUUCCACGAUCCGGACAUCGUAGUUUGGACCAUUCCGGGAGGUUUGCGGGUCGGCGUUGGAGAUGCCCUAACAAUACUUAUGCAAGACUACACUUUUACUUAAGAAAAAAACAAGAUGGGCUAGUUUGGCAGCAAAGUAUUUUCUAAACUGUGGUAAUUGAAAACCACAAUAUUACUCUGGGUGGGCAAAGAAUACUACGGUUUUCUAAAACCAAUGUUUUUCUCAGUUUUACAUGUGUUUGGUUGCUGUUAUUUAACCAAAGUUUUGACUAAGUAUUUUAGCGUGGGUGACUGAGUAGUUAGCGCUGCUAACGGCUGCCGGCUGCAUGCAGCUGCCAUGCACACAUAAUACCAUUCUAGGAUCAGUCAGCUAGAUUGAAGAAAUGCCAUCCUAGGAGUAGUCAACUGGAUUGAAGUAAUACAAUCCUAGGAGCGUGUUGCCAUUAUAUGUCUAUAUACUUGCAUGUACUUAUCGAAAAAGGCUUUCGCCCCGCUUUAUAUAUAAAGCAAAGAUUCACAGUGUCCGGUACAACUGCACUUACCCACCACAAACACACACACACAUCCAAGACAGGAUACAUAGGCGCUGAUGAAGCCAUGUACCUAGGGUAGGGUCAUGGACCUAUCCAAGAUACCCUCCCCAAGGACAUCUCUAGAAGAAACUACCUUUCAGUCGACCUGGAAGGAUUCCACUCGACAGACUCGAAGACACUCGACCAUGAAGCCACUCACUCGACCGCCAGGAGAUCUAGAGUCACUCUGCACACAAACGGUCUGUUAUUAAGUAGUCUUUAUGGUCAUGAUAGCACUUUAUGUAGGGCGUUACCAGUAACGCCAUGCCUUAAUGUACUUUAAACCCCGCAUAACUGAGGGCCGGAGGGGUCUGGCAGAUUCUAUAUAAGCCACCCCCCUCCUCAGUGUAAAGGGUUUGCACCCCUGUAACUCAUACGCAUAUAAUCCAGUCGACCGCCUCCGGGCUCCGAGAUGUAGGGCUGUUACUUCCUCCGAGAGGGGCCUGAACUCAUAAAUCCCUUGCGUAUACAACUACUCCAUAGCUAGGAUCUUGCCUCUCCAUACCUACCCCCCUUCUACUGUCAGACUUAGAACCACGACAGGCGCUGAACGCAGCAACACACACCCUAGCACUACAAGAGCCGCCGGGGGCAUCAUCCGAAGAAGUGAAGCCGCAUAUGAUGAAACGUGGGCUCCAAGGUGGUGCCUUCAGAAAGGAUACGACACCGGAGCGUCGCCACCGCCCGAUCCGAGGAUCAGAGUUUCCCCUGGAGCACCACGACCGACAGUGAUAGCCGCGAUGACGCCUUCAAGAAGGGAGCGAUCUUCGCCGUCGCCAGUCCGUCCGAAGAUAGAGUAGGUUUUCACCCCGGCCAACAUUCACCGCUACCGAACGCCACACCCCGGCUACCACGCCGCCCACACGGCCGUGGCAGCCGGGCAACACCGAGGCACGAGCUCUGCCCAUGAGCACCGCGCCACCACCCCCAGGGCCGCCGCCUCGGAAUCCAAGACCUUGACACCAAGUCCCCCGAGCCCCACCGCUACCCCCACUGCAGAGACGGGCGGAAAGGAUCCGCCUUUCACACCCCUGGCCGGUCCCAACGCCGAGACCCAAUGGGUUGGCCACAACAAGCCUCCAUCGAGCCGUCCUUUACACCGGGCGCGAGACGGGCCGGCCCUGCUGCCGGGCGCGAGACAUGCAUGUACUUCGAGCCGGUCCUAAAUUCUUUGUGCGUGUACAUGCGCCAUUUAUACUGAAUCAGCUAGCUAGCUAGUAUAUAUAACCUGCUGCUUAUGAGUGUUCUCCAAAAGGAUCAAUCAAUCUAAUUCGUGCGCUACUCGCCGGAAAUACAUAGGCAGCCAAGGACUCGAGAAAUAGCUUGCUGCGAACAGAGUGUUCUCCCUGGUGGUGAGCUUGAUUCAGUCAUGGCACUGCAGAGAAGAGAUGGAGACUCGCACGCGACGCGCCAGCUGGAAGAUAAACUAAUCAAACUGAAUCGGCUAUAACCAGGAGAUAUAAUAUGGUCGUUUAUCAUAUAAGAGAAAGAGGAAAAAUAUGAUGGGAUCGCUCUGAAUAUUCUUAUCUAGACGUAGACGGCAACGUCAAGUGCGAUCUCCCAGAAGAUUUCUCUCCGUUCUGUUUUAAAAAAAGAGGUCGGGACCUCUUUUCCGAAUACUGCAAAAAGACCAUGGUUUCUAGCAUACUGUGGUUUAUAAAACUUUGGUUUUUUCUGAAGCCAAACGCAGCAAAGUAUUCAAAACCAUGGUAUUUUUCAGAAACCACGGUAUUCUCAGAAAACUUUAAAAAAACUUUGCUGCCAAACGCAGCCUAAAGGGUUUCCCCGCUUUAUAUUAUGCAAGACUUACACUUUUACUUUUACUGAGCGAAGGGAGUAAUGAUGUGACACUCAUGGUAAUAUAUUGCAACGAUAUCACGAAGUACUCCAACAUUACAACAGCGAUGCAUGCAUGCAUCCUGACAGCAGGUCAUAACAAGAACACUAAUUUGUGGCAACAAUAGUACACUCUAUAUUGCCACACAUCACUUCUCUCGGUAAUAUUUCCAUGCAUGUACUACAGCAAUAUUUUGUUUCUGCUGCAGUAACCUGCAUGUCAUAUUGCAAGCUAGAGAAUUAUUAAGUACUAGUACUAAAAGUAAGUGAAGGGAAAACCGUACGUGGCAAUGGAACUGCCACGG